This 2732-nucleotide long non-coding RNA is filed under the name Acanthaster planci (crown-of-thorns starfish). RNAcentral's name for it is "uncharacterized LOC110978926, transcript variant X10". The record is from RNAcentral. Lineage: Eukaryota; Metazoa; Echinodermata; Asteroidea; Valvatida; Acanthasteridae.
AUUCGACUGAUGAUUGGUUGUCUUUUGCCAAACUCGGUAGCAGUAAUGGAGAGAUGAGAAACACUCCUGUGGGACCAUUUUCUGGAUUGCUGCACAUCUGAGAUAUCAUAUUUCUAUUAUAUUUUCAACAAUUGAAAAUGAAUGGGAAACGACGCCCAGGACGAUAAUGAGAUUUACGUAUGACAAACUUCAUUAAUGUGGGCUUCAAUGUGGGUUAUUUUGCCCUUGGCUUUGUUGAUUUUACACUGCCUUUUGCUGCGGUAAACGUAAAGUGCACCCUUUAUUUUAAUUUAAAAAUGGCGUACCCCACGAGUGUUAGGCUGGGAUUUUAACAGGGUUCCUUUGGUUUCUGCUUUAGCAGUAGCAGUAAUGGAGAGAUGAGAAACACUCCUGUGAGACCAUUUUCUGGAUUGCUGCACAUCUGAGAUAUCAUAUUUCUGAAACUUUACUACCCAACAGCCAGAGCACAAGCCGCUGAUGAGUUGUUACUUACAGGACGAUCAGUUUCUUGGCAUUUCUUGAUGAUGGCCGCUGUUGUUGAGGUGAUUGUACUGUGAUCUCUUGCUGUAGCCUUCUUGGUAACAUUUUCCCUAGUUUCAGUAGCUUGAUGGAGAGACAAGAGCAAGCUAGUCCCUGGAGGCUGUUCUCUGGAGUGUAACAAAUCAGAGAUAUCACUGGUGACACUACGUCACAGCCAGAGCACAAGCUGCUGGUGAGCCGCUGGUCAUGGUACAUCCAGUUUCUUGAUAUUUCUUGAUGAUGGAGUAAUCUGUUCCUGUGCUUGAUGUUGAGUUGUAGCAUUGAUGAAGAGACAAGAUCAUACCCCUGGGAGACAGUUUUCUGGAUUUUAACACAUCACUGGCAACUGACAACACAACUCACUCGUACCACAAGCACAGCCAAGAUUUGGACUCUAGCACUGUGCCUAUCUGUUCUACUUGCUAGUCUUCUGCUGAUGGUUGAACAGUGAUAUGCUCCAUGCUGUGACAUGUUCAACCUCUCACAUCAUUUUCUUAUUUUGUCUGUCCUGGAAUAGCAUGAGCAAAUUCGGGGUGCAAUUUCUGUUGUAUAAGUGCAUUGAGCCUUUUAAGGGCAAUAAAAGUAACACCAGCAUGAUUUGAUUUCCUCAACAUAACAGAACUGGUAAUUUGCAACUGUUGCAGUGACCGUUUGUCUUGUGGUGGCAACAAAAGGUUUUGUUGAAAGGUUCCUAUUUUGCAUGGUUUUUCUGUACCAUCUGGUGUACCUCAAGGAAGUGUCUAUUGUCCAAUCCACUUCAAUUUAUGUAUGUCAACGACCUUCCUUAUCAUAUCGUGUCAGCUAGCACUUUAUUUGGUAACAAUGCUCUUGCAUAUAUAGGCCAAUAUUAUGUCAGUCUGAUGACCUUCAUCAACAAGAUGUUCAUGGCUUCCAUAGAUGUUGUCAUGCUAAUAUGCAUCUCAAUAAAUUACGAAGGAAACCAAAGUUAUACGUAUAGUAUGGUUUAAGAAAAUAGUGGAUCCAAAGUAUACUUUGGUUAACAUGCAGUUUUGAAGUUGAGAAUGAGUGCAAAUAUCUUCGUGUAAUAAUUUCAACUACUAAAUUUCUUGGGAAAAUCAUGUUAUGUCACUACCAAAUCAACCAGACUCAGUAUCUUGCUUUCAUUUUGUCAGUUUAUAGUGUUGACUGUUCUGGAAUACCAGUAGCCUACCUUCACAACAGAAACCUUAUAUAUUAACAAAUUAGACCAAAAUUCAACAUUGAGCAACCAAGAUAGUUCUCUAGCAAAGAAGAUUUGAAAUGGAACAGUGAUUGGUUGCAUACGUACAUUGAAUUUGUCUUUAUGAGAAUCUAAAUGCAUCCAUAUUUUGCUUACAUUUGUUGUUAGAGGUCUCCGUGGAGUUUUUGACAGUGAAAUAGUCUCAGUGAACAGUUCGAACAUGUAUAUUGGAAACGAUCAGGCUGGACAAACCUUACGGCUCAAAUACAAAAACCUUCACAUUUUGCCAAUUGCAUGCUUUAGGAUGAACUACAUGUACAUGUACCUGAACGUAUGAGAACAAGUGGUUUAACUGACCCUUCAACACCGGAUCAACUUAACCAAGUGCCCACUUGAAUUUGAAAGUUUAUGAAACUUUACAGAGUGCUGAUUGAAUUUGCAGUUGAGUACCUUUGUAAUAAGUUCGUUGGGACUGGCAGGUUGUGGGAGGGGCAUUGUUGUUUGGUGUAAGGGAGCACAACAUUUGGGGAUUUGAUACCCAGGAUUUGCCAUGUGGACCAGAUGUGUCGAUGGUUUUCUUUUUGUUGUUCUUCAACUGUAUUUUGUUAUUUCGUGGUGUCCUUCUUUCAUUUGGUUUUACACAAUAAAUUUCUUUCAUUGUUUUGAAGGUACUUGUCAUUGAUUUAUGUACUUGUUUCUGUAAUUAUUUUAUUUUCAUUACUGUAAUGUAUUUGUGUGUCAUAUUUAUCUUAGUUUUGCCGACUGAAUGUACUUUUUCUGUUCGAUUUAUUUAGUUGUUAUUUCUUGAAUCAUAUUUUCCUUGUAUAGUUACUUUAUUGUGUAUGUGUGGUCACGUUUAUGUAAAAGCUGGAACUUCAGAAAGGAAGGCUCACGUCAAACUCUUUCCUCUCUGUGCAUUUGUAACGUUUGUGUUCGUGAUUUCAGUGUAUAUGUGCUAUGUGUUUUGUUUAAUGUUCUGUUCUUUAUCCUGGAAAAUGCUGAAUAAAUGAAAGUGUUUCCCCCAUUGUACACA